UACAGAGGUCCCAAGCGUUGUUCGGAUUCAUUGGGCGUAAAGGGUGCGUAGGCGGCGCGGUAAGUCGGGUGUGAAAUCUCGGAGCUUAACUCCGAAACUGCAUUCGAUACUGCCGUGCUUGAGGACUGGAGAGGAGACUGGAAUUUACGGUGUAGCAGUGAAAUGCGUAGAGAUCGUAAGGAAGGCCAGUGGCGAAGGCGAGUUCCUGGACAGUUACUGACGCUGAGGCACGAAGGCCAGGGGAGCAAACGGG
Molecule: ribosomal RNA, 253 nt
Filed under: uncultured bacterium
Lineage: Bacteria
Description: partial 16S ribosomal RNA
Rfam family: Bacterial small subunit ribosomal RNA
Source: RNAcentral